AAAUUUUAUUUUGGCCAGGAGCUGAAGUUGGUUGUUUAGUAGUAGUAGUUUGAGUAGUGACCGAAGUAGUAGUCUGGUGCAAGAGUAGUUGGGGAAGAAUUAGGUGUGGUAAUUGGGGCAGCUGUGGUCUCUUGUGGAGCUGGGGAAGACGGUGGAGCUGGUGUAGUUGCAGAAGGUGUGGGUGGGGCAGCUGUGGUCUCUGGUGGAGCUGAGGCGGAUGAUGGGUCUAGGGUAGUUGCAGAAGGUGUGGGUGGGGCAGCUGUGGUCUCUGGUGGAGCUGAGGAAGAUGGUGGAGCUGGUGUAGUUGCAGGAGGUGUGGGUGGGGCAGCUGUGGUCUCUGGUGGAGCUGAGGAAGAUGGUGGAGCUUGUGUAGUUGCAGAAGGUGUGGGUGGGGCAGCUGUGGUGUCUUGUGGAGCUGGGGAAUUCACUGGUGCUAAUGUAGCUACAGAAGAGCUUG
Molecule: long non-coding RNA, 457 nt
Filed under: Homo sapiens (human)
Lineage: Eukaryota; Metazoa; Chordata; Mammalia; Primates; Hominidae
Description: HSALNT0320102
Source: RNAcentral